Non-coding RNA from Malus domestica (apple), 2553 nucleotides. The record is from RefSeq and is a predicted model, not a curated record. Lineage: Eukaryota; Viridiplantae; Streptophyta; Magnoliopsida; Rosales; Rosaceae.
AGAGAGAGAGAGAGAGAGAGAGAUGGGGGGAGUAUGGGGUAGGGUAGAGGAUUUUCGGGAGGGAGGUAUGGGUUUAUGGAGAAAAAGUUAGGGAGAAGUAUGCGGGUAGGCUGUGCCAUUUGGGGGGGGUAGGUUUAAGGGGAACGCAUGUGCCAUUCUUAAAACAAGGGUUGUUUUGUUCUCUUAGCUGCUCUCACAGGCUGCCCAGCUGCCGAGGUCGACUCUUCCAGGCUCCAUGUUUGCCCAUUCUUCUCACGAUUUUUAUUUAUUUUCUGCCAAGAAGAUCCUUCUGGGUCUCUCACAUUUGACUAACUUGUGUGACUUUUUGGUUUUUUGAAUUACUUUAUGUAUUUAUGCAUCUGGUUUUGCAGCUUUUUUCUGUUGUUUUCAAGAAUUCAAUUCACAAAUCUCUCUCUCUCUCUCUCUCUCUCUCUUUUUCUCGCUAGAUAAAUUGCUUUGCUUUUUCCCCCUUUCCCUUUCCAAGUAAUUUGAUUUUGUUUUUCAAUUGUUUUUGUGUUCAUCUGGACUAUAUACCAACUGUGUUUGAUAACUUAAGUGCAAAUGUGGUUGUUGAAGGCACAACUGCAAACUUAGGCUUAUGGGACACUGCUGGUAACUCUCUCCAACCCAAAUUCUAAUUUCAUCUUAUAUAAAUGCGUUCCCCGACCAUUGUUGAGUGAUUUCAGAAUUAGGGUUGGGUUGAGGUCUGUUUGGUUGUCUGGAAAAUGUGGGAAAGAAGAUGGGGGUCAUGGGGUUUCUUGAUUUGUUGUGGAUUUGUGGGAAUUGCAAUUUCUGGUGGAAUUUUUAUGUGUUUUUUCUUAAGGGGAAAAAGUUAUAUACUUUUUUUGGUUUUCUUAGCCACCAAAUGGGAAACAUUUCAUUUUCUUUUAUUUGUGUUUGUAGUGAUGUAAUUCAGUUUCUGUUUAUUGUGAUUUUAAAUCAAAUGCCGUACUAAAUCUAAAUUUACUACAAGAUCUAAUCUGUAUUUUGCAGGAAAUGGUAAAUAGACCAUUUUCGGAAUGACAUGAAAUUAGUUAGAUAUGGCAUAAAAAGAGGGGGUACUUAAAGUCUCAUAUAUCUAUUUCAGUCGAAGAAUGUAUUUUGGUUAGGGAACUUUGAGCUGAUUAGGUGAAGAACCAAAUUGUCUUAUGACAUGCUUCUCAUUUAUUUUAAAAAUGGAUUGGAUCCUAUAAAUAUUUUAGCGAUUGACUAUAGAUAAAGCGGUCGUAUUGCCACUCUAAGAUAAGGCAGUUGUAUUUUUCAAAAUGAAUUAUCUUAUACACAUACAAAACUAUGUGAACUAAAGUAUAAUCUGGGACUUUUACUGUCUUAUCUGUACAUGAUCGAUUCUUCAUUGCUUCAUUGUAGGUGAGAAUGUUAUGCGAGAAAGUAAAGGAAAUUCUAAUGGGAGAAAGCAAUGCUCAGUUCAAAGGUUUUGGGAAAGGAGUGCUUUUUAAUCAGGCCAAUUGGGUCCUCCUGGCAAUACAAUGUCGAAAAAUUUUACAUCCGAGUCCAACAAAUUUGGCAAGAUGCAAAAGAGUUGUGAUUGGGAAGUCAACGAUGCUGAGCGAAGAUUAUGCAGUUGAGUACCAGGAUGAGGAGACUAGGAUUGAGUUUUGGCUCUUAAUAAUCGCUGCUCUGUUGCUUGGAAUUGAAUUUGAAACGUUGGAGAGGGAAGUUGGUUCCUAGGCAUUUUGAGGAAAAAUGAAAAGGGAAUAUGAGACGAUAUUGAAGAAGGCCUUGCAAAGCAUCUGCUUGAUUCAAAAACGACAACCUCGGUUAUUGUUUUGUUGCUUUGUGGGGAAACUAUUCAGCCUGUUGCGACAAAUACAUCAACGCCCACAGCAAAGCGCGGGCACAUUUUCUAGUUUAAUCUAAUAUCUGUUGCACUGAUAUUUAUGUAAUUUACACAAUUUUUCAAUGGGAGCCGAGUCUUUAAGAAGCAUGAUUUUGUUGUAAAUGACAAUUAAUAUCUGUAAAUUUGACAUUUAUAAGCAGAUAGGAUGUUUUUGCUUUCCCCAAUGCCAAAAUAUUUUCCCCCAAUUCGAAGAAGAGGAAGAUUGUUGACAUCAUUUUAUUCCUUGAAAAAGUUGCAUGCUAAGAAGAGGAAGAUUGUUGACAGAAGAGCCUCUAAUAGUCGCAAGAUAAGGUAUCAAUAGAUUCUUCGGUUCCCUAUGUGAAACUGCUGUGAUUUUGUUUUGGAAUAUCUUGGAGCAUCUGUUGAGCAAACUAGACUACAUUGUUCAAGGCUUAUUGCAUUAUGCUUUUGCGUGGAUAAUGUUUAUGAGAAGAUAGUAAAUUUCAUGGCUCCAGAGACCAUGGUCGUUUCUCCUAUGCUUCUUGACGUCAAUAAUUUGUUCGGGUUGAAGAAGCAGAAACCAGCUUCCAUAGUGUAGUAGCGAUGCAAGGUUGAAUCAGCUGUAUAGUCCUUGAAUCUCAGGCUAAGAAAUUGUUUGCUGUUAAUUUAUUUGAUAUAUUAUUCAAUCUAAUAUCUGUUGCACUGAUAUUUAUGUAAGUUACACAAUUUUUCAAUGGGAGCCGAGUCUUUUAGAA